AGUGAACGCUGGCGGUAGGCCUAACACAUGCAAGUCGAACGGCAGCACAGUAAGAGCUUGCUCUUACGGGUGGCGAGUGGCGGACGGGUGAGGAAUACAUCGGAAUCUACUUUUUCGUGGGGGAUAACGUAGGGAAACUUACGCUAAUACCGCAUACGACCUACGGGUGAAAGCAGGGGAUCUUCGGACCUUGCGCGACUGAAUGAGCCGAUGCCGGAUUAGCUAGUUGGCGGGGUAAAGGCCCACCAAGGCGACGAUCCGUAGCUGGUCUGAGAGGAUGAUCAGCCACACUGGAACUGAGACACGGUCCAGACUCCUACGGGAGGCAGCAGUGGGGAAUAUUGGACAAUGGGCGCAAGCCUGAUCCAGCCAUACCGCGUGGGUGAAGAAGGCCUUCGGGUUGUAAAGCCCUUUUGUUGGGAAAGAAAAGCAGCAGGUUAAUACCCCGCUGUUCUGACGGUACCCAAAGAAUAAGCACCGGCUAACUUCGUG
Molecule: ribosomal RNA, 492 nt
Filed under: uncultured bacterium
Lineage: Bacteria
Description: partial 16S ribosomal RNA
Rfam family: Bacterial small subunit ribosomal RNA
Source: RNAcentral